GAUGAACGCUGGCGGCGUGCUUAACACAUGCAAGUCGAACGAAGCAUUUGCGACAGAUUUUUUCGGAAUGAAGUUGCUUAUGACUGAGUGGCGGACGGGUGAGUAACGCGUGGGUAACCUGCCUUGUACUGGGGGAUAGCAGCUGGAAACGGCUGGUAAUACCGCAUAAGCGCACAAUGUUGCAUGACAUGGUGUGAAAAACUCCGGUGGUAUAAGAUGGACCCGCGUCUGAUUAGCUAGUUGGUGAGAUAACAGCCCACCAAGGCGACGAUCAGUAGCCGACCUGAGAGGGUGACCGGCCACAUUGGGACUGAGACACGGCCCAGACUCCUACGGGAGGCAGCAGUGGGGAAUAUUGCACAAUGGAGGAAACUCUGAUGCAGCGACGCCGCGUGAGUGAAGAAGUAAUUCGUUAUGUAAAGCUCUAUAAGCAGGGAAGAUAGUGACGGUACCUGACUAAGAAGCUCCGGCUAAAUACGUG
RNAcentral lists this ribosomal RNA (481 nucleotides) under uncultured bacterium. RNAcentral describes it as "partial 16S ribosomal RNA". It matches the Rfam family "Bacterial small subunit ribosomal RNA", at positions 28 to 507 of the family's 1533-position model. The record is from RNAcentral.